RNAcentral lists this ribosomal RNA (482 nucleotides) under uncultured bacterium. Its description in RNAcentral is "partial 16S ribosomal RNA". It matches the Rfam family "Bacterial small subunit ribosomal RNA", at positions 30 to 507 of the family's 1533-position model. The record is from RNAcentral.
AUUGAACGCUGGCGGCAUGCUUUACACAUGCAAGUCGAACGGUAACAGGCCGCAAGGUGCUGACGAGUGGCGAACGGGUGAGUAAUGCAUCGGAACGUGCCCAGUCGUGGGGGAUAACUACCCGAAAGAGUAGCUAAUACCGCAUACGAUCUAUGGAUGAAAGCGGGGGACCGUAAGGCCUCGCGCGAUUGGAGCGGCCGAUGUCAGAUUAGGUAGUUGGUGGGGUAAAGGCUCACCAAGCCAACGAUCUGUAGCUGGUCUGAGAGGACAACCAGCCACACUGGGACUGAGACACGGCCCAGACUCCUACGGGAGGCAGCAGUGGGGAAUUUUGGACAAUGGGCGCAAGCCUGAUCCAGCAAUGCCGCGUGCAGGAAGAAGGCCUUCGGGUUGUAAACUGCUUUUGUACGGAACGAAACGGCUCUGGUUAAUACCCGGGGCUAAUGACGGUACCGUAAGAAUAAGCACCGGCUAACUACGUG